UACGAAGGGGGCUAGCGUUGUUCGGAAUUACUGGGCGUAAAGCGUGCGCAGGCGGCUUCUCAAGUCAGGGGUGAAAGCCCAGAGCUCAACUCUGGAAUUGCCUUUGAGACUGAGUGGCUUGAGUACGGGAGAGGUGAGUGGAAUUCCCAGUGUAGAGGUGAAAUUCGUAGAUAUUAGGAAGAACACCAGUGGCGAAGGCGGCUCACUGGCCCGGUACUGACGCUGAGGUGCGAAAGCGUGGGGAGCAAACAGG
This 253-nucleotide ribosomal RNA is filed under the name uncultured bacterium. RNAcentral describes it as "partial 16S ribosomal RNA". It matches the Rfam family "Bacterial small subunit ribosomal RNA", at positions 524 to 776 of the family's 1533-position model. The record is from RNAcentral.